AUAGCCAUAUCAAUAUUGAGGAUGAACUCUUUCCAACGGCCACACAUGGCCUCCUUUAGCUUCAACUCCCUCCAACAAAAUCACCACCUCUUCUCUGUUACUCUCUGUAAGUACCCGUCGACUCUGAUUGGUCUCAAAUCUCAUUACUCUUCUUGUUUUUUCACUUCCUCACCUUCCAAACACACACUUGAACUUGCUCCACUUCUCGUAGUUAAAGGUAAUGUUAGCAACACUAUUACGAAGUCGUCUACCACAGACCAUAACCCAUCUACAGAAACCAAGAAUUCAAAAACUAGAAAAGAAACGGGUCCUGGAUUUCCUACUUUAAGGUCUAUAGAAAAAAAAGUCGGCAAAAAAUUUGUGAAAAAGUAUGGCAGUUCAGUGGUGGAGGAAAAGACUGAAAACGGGUUCACCAAAGACAGGAAUUUGAGGAAAAAUCUGGGUUUUAGAAAAAGGAGGGAAAUGAGUAAUGGGCAUUCUUCGAUAAAGUCUAAGGAUAAGAAUACUGGAGUUGUUAAAUCUUUAGAAAGUACGAAGAUUGUUAAUCACAAAAAGGAUGUGAAGGCCAAGGAAGGUAUUAAUAAGCAGGUGGGAGGAGAAGACAAGAAGGAAAAAGGGUCAAAGAAAAAUAAGGUUGAUUCACCAGAAGUUCAAAUGAGAAUUGGAUUAGAUAUGUGCUCGAAGAGAGGGGAUGUUAUGGGUGCUAUUCAAUUCUAUGAUUUAGCUCAGAGAGAAGGAAUCAAAAUGGGGCAGUACCAUUAUACUGUGCUUUUGUAUCUUUGUUCUUCUGCGGCUGUUGGUGUUGUUCAACCUGCAAAAAGUGGGAGUGGUACACGGACUUUGAAUGCCUUGGAGUCACCUAGUGAAGUUUCCAUGGUGAACUCGACGGACUUGAGUAAGUCUAGUCACUUGGAUAACUGGGGUGAUAGGGAAUUGAAUGUGUCAGUUUCAGACAAUGGAUAUCUGAAUGGUAGUGGUAGGGUUCAUAGGACUGCUGACAAUGUUGAGUUAAAUUCUGCUACUUGUAUUGAUGACCAUGAUAGUAGUUUCAAUGAAAAGGAGAAAUUAGCCCGGUUUUCAAAUGGCUUUGUGAAGCGAAAUUCUCGCCUCUUAGAUGGACUCAGUAAUCCUAAUAAAUGUGAUGAUGAUUCUUCACAUGUAGAAGAUGGAAGCAAGAACCAAGAAAAUGAAAGAAUUCUGGUUGAUGAAGAUGUGAAGAAGUAUGCGCUUGAGAAAGGAUUUGAGAUCUAUGAAAAGAUGUGUUUGGAAAAGAUCCCAAUGAAUGAAGCGGCAUUAACUUCUGUGGCUAGAAUGGCUAUGUCAAUGGGUAAUGGUGAUAUGGCAUUUGAUAUGGUGAAGCAAAUGAAGUCACUGGGAAUAAAUCCUCGACUACGUUCCUAUGGUCCUGCAUUAUCUGCUUUUUGCAAUAGUAGAAAUGUUGAUAAGGCAUUUGCUGUUGAGAAACAUAUGCUAGAAAAUGGUGUCUAUCCAGAAGAGCCCGAACUGGAGGCCCUUUUAAGAGUGAGCGUAGGAGUUGGUAAGGGAGACAGGGUAUAUUAUUUGUUGCAUAAAUUAAGAACUCAUGUAAGGAAGGUCUCACUCUCAACUGCAAAUUUAAUUGCCAGUUGGUUUGAGAGCAAGGCAGCUUCAAGAGUGGGGAAAACAAAAUGGGAUCAGGGGUUAAUAAAGGAAGCAAUUGAGAAUGGAGGUGGUGGCUGGCAUGGACAGGGAUGGUUGGGAAGAGGAAAAUGGUCUGUGUUACUGACAACCAUUGGAGUGGAUGGGUUGUGCAAAUGCUGUGGGGAGAAAUUGGCCACUAUUGACCUUGAUCCAAAAGAAACAGAAGACUUUGCUGAAUCAGUUGCUUCUAUAGCUAUAAAAAGAGAGAAAAACUCAAGCUUUCAGAAAUUUCAAAAAUGGCUUGACUAUUAUGGACCUUUUGAAGCAGUGGUGGAUGCAGCUAAUAUAGGUCUUUUCAGCCAAAAAAGAUUCAUGCCAUCCAAGAUAAAUGCUGUUGUUAAUGCAAUACGACAAAAACUUCCUUCAAAGAAAUGGCCACUCAUUGUUUUGCAUAACAAGCGUAUUACUGGAAGAAGGAUGGAUGAACCCAUAAAUAGAGCAUUGGUUGAUAAGUGGAGAAAUGCGGAUGCACUCUAUGCAACACCAACUGGGUCAAAUGAUGAUUGGUACUGGUUAUAUGCAGCUAUAAAGUUCAAGUGCUUAAUUGUGACAAAUGAUGAAAUGAGAGAUCAUACAUUUCAGCUUCUUGGAAAUGAUUUCUUUCCCAAAUGGAAAGAAAGGCAUCAAGUGCAUUUCAGUUUUACUGAUGCUGGUCCUGUAUUUCAUAUGCCUCCUCCUUGUUCUGUUGUAAUUCAGGAAUCAGAGAAAGGCCAUUGGCAUAUUCCAAUAUUAUCAGAACAUGAUUAUGAAGCAGAAAGACCAUGGUUGUGUAUUACAAGAGCUAAAUCACGAGUUACGAGACAAAAAUCUGAAACUGGAGAUGAAGAUUUGCAACUUCUUCAUCAUAGCAAGGGAUUCGUAAGGCCAGCUACCAAAACUGAAGCAUCACAGCCAUUGAUCAACUACAAGCAUGAAAAUCAAGAAACCUACAAGAGUCUCAGGGAUAUUCUGUCGGAGUCCAUGAUCUUGGAUAAUCAUUCAAUCCUAUCAGACAUUGAGACCGCAGAGAUGCUUGGUGGAUGUACCAUUGAUUUUCAGAUUUAAAAAGUCAAUGGCUUUUUUGUUAAGACAUCCAGUAAAGCAGAAGGAUAAAGAACUCCCAGGUCCCAACUUUGAGUCUUCUUGUAUGGUUACAGCAAGUUGAUGGGGCUGGCUAGAGCUUUUUCCCUUCACACAUUUGUUAUGGGGGUAGGGUGGCCGGCCAAUGAGUGGAUUCCUUGUAUCGAGUGAACUUUGUACCUUCUCUGUUCUUUUAUGGGUAGACCGUCUUGGAUGCCACUCCUUGGGAAAGUGAAAAGGCAACAGAUCACAAGGUCACGGGGCUGAAACUGUGAUUUUGUCUUGUUGCACUUUCUAAUGCAUGAUGGAUUUACGUGGUUGGAGGAUCUCUCUAUGAUGGGUUUUUUGUUGUUUGGCUACCACGUACUGAAUGUAUCACGAGCCACCAGUCACCGACUUCGCUCUGUCUCUCUGUCUAACACUCAAAUCCAAACCCAGCUUACUCAGUGACAAAAAUUCAAAUUAUAUACAAAAAGGAGAGAAAAAAAACAGAGCUGGUAUAAAUAUAUAUAUAUAUAUAUAUAUAGAUAUUCUCCAUUUUCCACUUUAUCUCUUCCAAGUCUUCCA
Molecule: RNA transcript, 3306 nt
Organism: Ziziphus jujuba (common jujube)
Lineage: Eukaryota; Viridiplantae; Streptophyta; Magnoliopsida; Rosales; Rhamnaceae
Gene name: proteinaceous RNase P 1, chloroplastic/mitochondrial
Exons: 8
Source: RefSeq, a predicted model, not a curated record